This is a long non-coding RNA of Lepidothrix coronata (blue-crowned manakin), 641 nucleotides long. RefSeq lists it as uncharacterized. The record is from RefSeq and is a predicted model, not a curated record. NCBI's taxonomy places the organism in Eukaryota, Metazoa, Chordata, Aves, Passeriformes, Pipridae. The transcript is spliced from 3 exons.
AUGGGCUUGGGGUGCUGGGCUCAGCAUCUGCACCAUUGCCUGAAAAAUAACAGACUGCUACUAGUGGAGCCCAUGAUAUUGCAAAGCCUCUACAGCAUCCAUAAUCUUAUUGUGGGAGCCUUAUCUAUAGCUGGUGAAGGCAGAAAUCCAGAUUGAGGGGUCUGUACUAUCUGUUCCUCCCCAGUACCUGCUGUACCCGCUGGCCAGCAUCAGCCAAGCUGAAGAGCAGUGAGGAGACCUCAGCAGUGCCAAAGAAUGUAGGACUUGGGCAGAGCAGAGUGACCCAGACUACUGCAACAGGAGCCACCACAGCAGGAGCAUUCCAGACAAAUGGCACCAAGAAGUCAAGCCCUACCUUGAGCUGUGGUGAGAUGGGCAGGGACCUCUCUGUUUCUGUUGGUGUGGAAGAGCAUCCUCCAGGUGCAGCAUCCCAGAAGCUCAGCACUACAGAGCCAGUGGCUGUUUAGAAAGCCUGCAAGAUAUUGGAUUAAAGGCAGAUGCCCCAGGAACAAAGAGAGAGGGUGCAUCCACAGAGACUCUGGGCCUGGGAUCACUGCAGAGAGUCAGUGCCAAGCCUGCAGCUCAAAGCAGCAUCAGAAGACUUCAUGAAUGACCCACAGACACUGCACAGAUGAGGGAAA